Molecule: ribosomal RNA, 488 nt
Filed under: uncultured bacterium
Lineage: Bacteria
Description: SSU rRNA
Rfam family: Bacterial small subunit ribosomal RNA
Source: RNAcentral
AGGAUGAACGCUGGCGGUCUGCUUAACACAUGCAAGUCGAACGGGCGUAGCAAUACGUUAGUGGCGGACGGGUGAGUAAUGCAUCGGGACCUACCUGAACGUGGGGGAUAACGUAGGGAAACUUACGCUAAUACCGCAUACGUCCUACGGGAGAAAGCGGGGGACCUUCGGGCCUCGCGCGGUCAGACGGACCGAUGUUCGAUUAGCUAGUUGGUAAGGUAAUGGCUUACCAAGGCGACGAUCGAUAGCUGGUCUGAGAGGAUGAUCAGCCACACUGGAACUGAGACACGGUCCAGACUCCUACGGGAGGCAGCAGUGGGGAAUAUUGGACAAUGGGCGCAAGCCUGAUCCAGCAAUGCCGCGUGUGUGAAGAAGGCCUUCGGGUUGUAAAGCACUUUUAUCAGGAACGAAAUACCAUUGGUUAAUACCGGUGGGCUGACGGUACCUGAGGAAUAAGCACCGGCUAACUUCGCGCCAGCAGCCGCGGU